CCUACGGGGCGCACCAGUGGGGAAUAUUGGACAAUGGGCGAAAGCCUGAUCCAGCAAUGCCGCGUGUGUGAAGAAGGUCUUCGGAUUGUAAAGCACUUUCGACGGGGGCGAUGAUGACGGUACCCGUAGAAGAAGCCCCGGCUAACUUCGUGCCAGCAGCCGCGGUAAUACGAAGGGGGCUAGCGUUGCUCGGAAUGACUGGGCGUAAAGGGCGCGUAGGCGGUUUAUGCAGUCAGAUGUGAAAUCCCCGGGCUUAACCUGGGAACUGCAUUUGAGACGCAUAGACUAGAGGUCGAGAGAGGGUUGUGGAAUUCCCAGUGUAGAGGUGAAAUUCGUAGAUAUUGGGAAGAACACCGGUGGCGAAGGCGGCAACCUGGCUCGAUACUGACGCUGAGGCGCGAAAGGGUGGGGAGCAAACAGGAUUAGAUACCCGAGUAGUC
RNAcentral lists this ribosomal RNA (440 nucleotides) under uncultured bacterium. RNAcentral's name for it is "bacterial SSU rRNA". It matches the Rfam family "Bacterial small subunit ribosomal RNA", at positions 338 to 795 of the family's 1533-position model. The record is from RNAcentral.